CCUACGGGAGGCAGCAGUAGGGAAUAUUGCUCAAUGGGGGAAACCCUGAAGCAGCAACGCCGCGUGGAGGAUGAAGGUUUUCGGAUUGUAAACUCCUUUUGUUAGAGACGAUAAUGACGGUAUCUAACGAAUAAGCACCGGCUAACUCCGUGCCAGCAGCCGCGGUAAUACGGAGGGUGCAAGCGUUACUCGGAAUCACUGGGGGUAAAGAGCGCGUAGGCGGGAUAGCAAGUCAGAUGUGAAAUCCUAGGGCUUAACCAUAGAACUGCAUUUGAAACUGUUAUUCUAGAGUAUGGGAGAGGUAGGUGGAAUUCUUGGUGUAGGGGUAAAAUCCGUAGAGAUCAAGAGGAAUACUCAUUGCGAAGGCGACCUGCUAGAACAUAACUGACGCUGAUGCGCGAAAGCGUGGGGAGCAAACAGGAUUAGAUACCCGGGUAGUC
RNAcentral lists this ribosomal RNA (440 nucleotides) under uncultured bacterium. RNAcentral's name for it is "partial 16S ribosomal RNA". It matches the Rfam family "Bacterial small subunit ribosomal RNA", at positions 338 to 795 of the family's 1533-position model. The record is from RNAcentral.